GAUGAACGCUAGCGGCAGGCCUAACACAUGCAAGUCGAGGGGUAGAAGGAGCUUGCUCCUUUGAGACCGGCGCACGGGUGCGUAACGCGUAUGCAAUCUACCUUGUACAGGGGAAUAGCCCAGAGAAAUUUGGAUUAAUGCCCCAUAGUAUAUAACCUUCGCAUGUUGGUUAUAUUAAAGUUUCAACGGUACAAGAUGAGCAUGCGUCCCAUUAGUUAGUUGGUAAGGUAACGGCUUACCAAGACGAUGAUGGGUAGGGGUCCUGAGAGGGAGAUCCCCCACACUGGUACUGAGACACGGACCAGACUCCUACGGGAGGCAGCAGUGAGGAAUAUUGGUCAAUGGUCGCAAGACUGAACCAGCCAUGCCGCGUGCAGGAAGACGGUCCUAUGGAUUGUAAACUGCUUUUAUACAGGAAGAAACCCUCCACGUGUGGGAGCUUGACGGUACNGUAGGAAUAAGG
Molecule: ribosomal RNA, 463 nt
Filed under: uncultured bacterium
Lineage: Bacteria
Description: bacterial SSU rRNA
Rfam family: Bacterial small subunit ribosomal RNA
Source: RNAcentral